RNAcentral lists this ribosomal RNA (253 nucleotides) under uncultured bacterium. Its description in RNAcentral is "partial 16S ribosomal RNA". It matches the Rfam family "Bacterial small subunit ribosomal RNA", at positions 524 to 776 of the family's 1533-position model. The record is from RNAcentral.
UACGAAGGGGGCUAGCGUUGCUCGGAAUCACUGGGCGUAAAGCGCACGUAGGCGGCUUCUUAAGUCAGGGGUGAAAUCCUGGAGCUCAACUCCAGAACUGCCUUUGAUACUGAGGAGCUUGAGUCCGGGAGAGGUGAGUGGAACUGCGAGUGUAGAGGUGAAAUUCGUAGAUAUUCGCAAGAACACCAGUGGCGAAGGCGGCUCACUGGCCCGGGACUGACGCUGAGGUGCGAAAGCGUGGGGAGCAAACAGG